This 353-nucleotide unclassified non-coding RNA is filed under the name Hevea brasiliensis (rubber tree). The record is from RNAcentral. Lineage: Eukaryota; Viridiplantae; Streptophyta; Magnoliopsida; Malpighiales; Euphorbiaceae.
UGGUGAGGGUGGUCCUAUCUAUGUUGCUGAUGGCGGCGAGCAUGACGACAGGGUUGGCGGGAGAUAAGCGGCUGAGCUACAGUAGAGAUGACUUUCCGGCGGAUUUUGUGUUCGGAUCAGGGACUUCGGCUUAUCAAGUUGAAGGAGCAGCUGCUGAGGAUGGAAGGACUCCAAGUAUCUGGGACACCUUCGCACAUUCAGGUGAUGAAAACGUAACAGCAGAUAUCACCUCUGAUGAAUAUCAUAAAUAUAAGGAAGAUGUCAAGCUAAUGGUAGAGACUGGUUUGGAUGCCUACAGGUUCUCUAUUUCUUGGUCAAGGCUGAUUCCUGAUGGAAGAGGAAACAUAAAUCAG